UACGAAGGGGGCUAGCGUUGCUCGGAAUCACUGGGCGUAAGGCGCACGUAGGCGGAUUGCUAAGUCAGGGGUGAAAUCCUGGAGCUCAACUCCAGAACUGCCUUUGAUACUGGCGAUCUUGAGUCCGGGAGAGGUGAGUGGAACUCCGAGUGUAGAGGUGAAAUUCGUAGAUAUUCGGAAGAACACCAGUGGCGAAGGCGGCUCACUGGCCCGGUACUGACGCUGAGGUGCGAAAGCGUGGGGAGCAAACAGG
This 253-nucleotide ribosomal RNA is filed under the name uncultured bacterium. Its description in RNAcentral is "partial 16S ribosomal RNA". It matches the Rfam family "Bacterial small subunit ribosomal RNA", at positions 524 to 776 of the family's 1533-position model. The record is from RNAcentral.